This 441-nucleotide ribosomal RNA is filed under the name uncultured bacterium. RNAcentral's name for it is "partial 16S ribosomal RNA". It matches the Rfam family "Bacterial small subunit ribosomal RNA", at positions 338 to 795 of the family's 1533-position model. The record is from RNAcentral.
ACUACGGGAGGCAGCAGUGGGGGAUAUUGCACAAUGGGGGGAACCCUGAUGCAGCGACGCCGCGUGGGUGAAGGAGCGUUUCGGCGCGUAAAGCCCUAUCGGCAGGGAAGAAGGAGGACGGUACCUGACUAAGAAGCCCCGGCUACCUACGUGCCAGCAGCCGCGGUAAUACGUAGGGGGCAAGCGUGAUCCGGAUUUACUGGGGCGAAAGGGGGCGCAGACGGCAGCGCAAGGCCGUAGUGAACGACCGGGGCGCAACCCCGGGACUGCUCUUGGAACUGCGCGGCUGGAGUGCAGGAGGGGCAGGCGGAAUUCCUGGUGUAGCGGUGAAAUGCGUAGAUAUCAGGAGGAACACCGGUGGCGAAGGCGGCCUGCUGGACUGCGACUGACGUUGAGGCCCGAAAGCGUGGGGAGCAAACAGGAUUAGAUACCCGGGUAGUC